Molecule: ribosomal RNA, 201 nt
Filed under: uncultured bacterium
Lineage: Bacteria
Description: partial 16S ribosomal RNA
Rfam family: Bacterial small subunit ribosomal RNA
Source: RNAcentral
UACAGAGGUGGCAAGCGUUGUUCGGAAUUACUGGGCGUAAAGGGCGCGUAGGCGGUUCGUUAAGUCCUGUGUGAAAUCCCCCGGCUCAACUGGGGAACUGCACAGGAAACUAGCGGGCUUGAGUUCGGGAGAGGGAAGCGGAAUUCCGGGUGUAGCGGUGAAAUGCGUAGAUAUCCGGAGGAACACCGGUGGCGAAGGCGG